UGGGAACCUUCCCUAUGGUUCGGAAUAGCUCAGGGAAACUUGGGGUAAUACCGGAUAAGCCCUUCGGGGAAAGAUUUGUCGCUAUUGGAUGGGCCCGCGUCGGAUUAGCUAGUUGGUGAGGUAACGGCUCACCAAGGCAACGAUCCGUAGCUGGUCUGAGAGGAUGAUCAGCCACACUGGGACUGAGACAUGGCCCAGACUCCUACGGGAGGCAG
Molecule: ribosomal RNA, 215 nt
Filed under: uncultured bacterium
Lineage: Bacteria
Description: partial 16S ribosomal RNA
Rfam family: Bacterial small subunit ribosomal RNA
Source: RNAcentral